CAGAGGGUGCGAACGUUGCUCGGAAUUACUGGGCGUAAAGCGCGUGUAGGCGGAACGGCAAGUCAGAUGUGAAAUCCCCGGGCUCAACCCGGGAACUGCACCUGAAACUGCCGAUCUUGAGUACCGGAGAGGGUGGCGGAAUUCCUGGUGUAGAGGUGAAAUUCGUAGAUAUCAGGAGGAACACCGGUGGCGAAGGCGGCCACCUGGACGGUUACUGACGCUGAGACGCGAAAGCGUGGGGAGCAAACAGGAUUAGAUACCCUGGUAGUCCACGCCGUAAACGAUGGGUGCUAGGUGUCUCGGGUAUUGACCCCUGAGGUGCUGUAGCUAACGCGUUAAGCACCCCGCCUGGGAAGUACGGUCGCAAGACUA
RNAcentral lists this ribosomal RNA (372 nucleotides) under uncultured organism. RNAcentral describes it as "bacterial SSU rRNA". It matches the Rfam family "Bacterial small subunit ribosomal RNA", at positions 526 to 896 of the family's 1533-position model. The record is from RNAcentral.